RNAcentral lists this ribosomal RNA (424 nucleotides) under uncultured prokaryote. Its description in RNAcentral is "bacterial SSU rRNA". It matches the Rfam family "Bacterial small subunit ribosomal RNA", at positions 355 to 774 of the family's 1533-position model. The record is from RNAcentral.
UUAAGAAUCUUGCACAAUGGGCGCAAGCCUGAUGCAGCGACGCCGCGUGAAUGAUGAAGGCCUUCGGGUUGUAAAGUUCGGUAAGCAGGGAAGAAUAAGCACCGGGUAAUAUUCGGUGUGAUGACGGUACCUGCCUAAAGCCCCGGCUAACUACGUGCCAGCAGCCGCGGUAGUACGUAUGGGGCGAGCGGUGUUCGGAAUUAUUGGGCGUAAAGGGCGUCUAGGCGGGAAAUUAAGUUAGGUGUGAAAGCUAUGGGCUCAACCCAUAAACUGCAUCUAAAACUGAUUGUCUUGAGUUCGGGAGAGGAGAGCGGAAUUCCAGGUGUAGCGGUGAAAUGCGUAGAUAUCUGGAAGAACACCAGUGGCGAAGGCGGCUCUCUGGCCUAGAACUGACGCUGAAGCGCGAAAGCGUGGGGAGCGAACA